UCCCUGGUGGCUCAGUCAGUAGAGAAUCUGUCUGCAAUGCAGGAGACCCAGGUUCCAUCCCUGGUUUGGGAA
Molecule: non-coding RNA, 72 nt
Organism: Bos taurus (domestic cattle)
Lineage: Eukaryota; Metazoa; Chordata; Mammalia; Artiodactyla; Bovidae
Source: Rfam